Fundulus heteroclitus (mummichog) is the source of this 1710-nucleotide long non-coding RNA. RefSeq lists it as uncharacterized. The record is from RefSeq and is a predicted model, not a curated record. NCBI's taxonomy places the organism in Eukaryota, Metazoa, Chordata, Actinopteri, Cyprinodontiformes, Fundulidae. The transcript is spliced from 3 exons.
UAUCUAUCUAUCUAUCUAUCUAUCUAUCUAUCUAUCUAUCUAUCUAUCUAUCUAUCUAUCUAUCUAUCUAUAACUGGAGACAUGUACAGUGAGGUGAGUGUAUCGUGCCUUUGAAACGCUCCCCAGACGCCGUUUUGCUGUUAACCCACAGUGACUCUGCUCUCUCCAUCAACCUUUCAUGUACCCCUUCCCGGGUCCACUCUCCUGCUGUGACACAUUAACAUUGUAAUUGCCUUUUUUUGAGCACAAUAAACGGAGCCGGUCCGCUGGGACCUGCAUGGCCCCGGGAGCUGGCACAAAGCCUUGCCAUCGAUUUUUCACACUCACCGCUUCUCACUGCUGUCGUCGCCGUUGGAGAAGGGAAAGAAAAAUCUGAGCCAUCAACAAACACAGACCCGGUCUGAACAUGCAUGAUGUGUUUGUCUUCGGGUUUCUGCUGAACAUCUGACGCCUGCCUGCGGGCAAGUCUGAUGAAUUGUUGCAGAAAACAGAGCUAAUUGUUAUUUUAAAUGCUCAAUUCAAAGCUUCAGAUGCUCAUUAACACACCCCACUAUUAUCAGACAUAAUUUAGAAGUCCAUGUGAAUUACAAAGAAAGAUCCAUGUUUCCCAUAUUGAUCAGGGCUUUAAGUGAUGCUAAAUAAUCAAUAUCCAUCACAUUUAAUCUACCCCACUUCAGUAAGAACUCCUUACUGUCCUCACAUCCUGAGGUCCACACGGGGUGUACAUUUAACUCAGUGCAAGUGUACGUACAUGUGUGAGUAGAGAGUGAAGUCAAUGAAGGAGCAGACCUUGGAGGCCGCUCUGUUGAUGUAUAACGGUUUUGUUCUCAUUAAAGUUUUAUGUCAUGAAUGCAGAAACAUCUUGUCAGCUCUCGCAGGGAAUCUCUCGCUGGAAUCAGGCUGAAAGGAUCACAGUGACACACACGAGCUGGAUAAUUUUGAUUUAUGAAGUUGCAACUUCAAGACUUCAUCAGUAUCAUCUUACUCUGUAGGGCGUGACAGGUGGACAUCUGCCACAGGUGUUUCCCUUCCACUUUUAACAAGUGGAGCAUUUAAGGAGGCAGGAACCAGAUGGAAGACGUCAGAGCAGCUCACCCAGAGCGAUGUUCACUCACUUCUGGAUCCAGAUCUGGUCCUCAUGUCGCCCUGGUCUUCUUGGAAAAGUCCAAGCUUUAGUCCACUGCCAUGGCCUCUCCAACUUUCCUGUUUCUCCUGUCAUGCUUUGCGCCAGUAACACCAACCCUCCCAGCGCGCCACCGUCUGCCUGUCCACCCUCAGACGUGCUCCAUUCUCAGUCGUCCACAACACGCCACCAUUCGUCCUAUGCCAUUUCACUGCUCCCGAGGACUUCAUCUACCACUCGAUCCAUAAGUCAGCCUCUUUAUUCCACCUACCUGGCUUGCUGUCGGUGCUCAGACUUGUCUGUUUCUAUCUCCACAGUGAGCGACCAGAGCCCUCCCGGUUUCCCAGCCAUUAUCUUGCACCCUUUUCAAUAAACCUUCUUAUACAACAUCCAAGCCUCCGUGUUUGUGACCCGUUUAGAGUCCACAUGAAAAAACUAAUUAUAGGCCCUUUUCCAUUAGACCACAAAAGCCCACCAUGUGUUUCCAUAUGGGGGAUUUUACUUUCCCUGGGCUUUACUUUCACAGGAAAAAGGUCCUGGUCUUAGGAAAGGACUCUUAAAGAAGCUUGGGGCUUUGCAUAAGGGGC